UGCCGUUCUUGAUCUCCUUGAGCUUGAGCUCCUUCAUCUCCUUCUCGGUCUUUCCGAACCCGAGCGGGUUGAAGAGCGGGCCGCCGGGGUAGGACGGGUCGCCGGAGCCGGCGAGGAACUUCUCGAGGCCGAGGAAGUACUGCUUGCCCAUGGAGCCCGGGUUGUACCAGUCCUGGAGGCGGCGGUGCUCGGCGAAGCCCAUGAGCGCCAUGUUGAAGACGAAGAGCGUGUAGGAGUCGGCCCAGUAGUUGUAGGUGCCCGCCGGCGGGAUGACCCCCGUCUUGAACCACGGCAGCGCCGUCUCCGGCGGGAUGAGGCCCAGCUUGCCGAAGACCUCCGGAGCGAUGGCGCCCGCAGCGCCCAGCAUGGCGAAGCGCCCGUUGAUCACCUCCCCGUAGGCCAGCCACUUGGGCUCGAUGAAGCCGCCGGUGCCCUCCGGGUCGGAGAGGCCCAGCGGGUCGAAACCGUAGUCGCCGGGCAGCCUGCGACGACGACGGCAUCGUCCAAGAUCGGAUCAGUAUAUAGUAACUGCAAGAACAUUCAUGGAGGCAUGGAGCUAGCAGUACGUACGUGCCAUCGAGGUAGGAGAGGGAUUGCUUGGACGCGAACCACAGCUGCCUGUCAGCGCCUUGCUGCAAGAAAGAAGAUUCAUCCAUGAUCAGUAGCUCGUUUUAGACGAUGAGCUCGGCAAGUAAGAGGUGCAGCGAGAGCAGGUCCGCGCAG
RNAcentral lists this long non-coding RNA (723 nucleotides) under Setaria italica (foxtail millet). RNAcentral describes it as "long non-coding RNA (SITA_LNC003217)". Lineage: Eukaryota; Viridiplantae; Streptophyta; Magnoliopsida; Poales; Poaceae. The record is from RNAcentral.